This 253-nucleotide ribosomal RNA is filed under the name uncultured bacterium. RNAcentral describes it as "partial 16S ribosomal RNA". It matches the Rfam family "Bacterial small subunit ribosomal RNA", at positions 524 to 776 of the family's 1533-position model. The record is from RNAcentral.
UACGUAGGGGGCAAGCGUUGUCCGGAAUCAUUGGGCGUAAAGAGCGUGUAGGCGGCCUGGUAAGUCCGCUGUGAAAGUCCAGGGCUCAACCCUGGAAUGCCGGUGGAAACUGUCAGGCUCGAGUCCGGAAGAGGCGAGUGGAAUUCCUGGUGUAGCGGUGAAAUGCGCAGAUAUCAGGAGGAACACCAAUUGCGAAGGCAGCUCGCUGGGACGUUACUGACGCUGAGACGCGAAAGCGUGGGGAGCAAACAGG